CAGGAGUGGCUCAGCUAGGCUGCUCUGGCUCAGGUCCGUUCAUUAGCUCCGGUCCAGGUGUCAGCAGGACUGCAGUCAUCUGAAGGUGCAAGUGGGCCUGGGCCUUCCACAUCCAAUAUGGCUCCCUCACGGGGAAGGCAGGGACAGAGGCGAUGGCCGCUGGGCACAGGGCACAGGUCUGGGGGACUGGCAUCCCAGAGACAGGCUGGAUUCAGCACCCUGAUGACAUCCUCUGCUUUGGGGAGGACCUAGCACCUACUUGGGAGGCACAAAGUGUCCCCAGGUCACCCUCAGGACAGAAAAUUGCUGCAAACCCGUGUUCUGACCCCUGGAACUGAAAUAAACAUUGCUAUACUUAUUCUA
Long non-coding RNA from Suricata suricatta (meerkat), 363 nucleotides. RefSeq lists it as uncharacterized. NCBI's taxonomy places the organism in Eukaryota, Metazoa, Chordata, Mammalia, Carnivora, Herpestidae. The transcript is spliced from 2 exons. The record is from RefSeq and is a predicted model, not a curated record.